This 250-nucleotide ribosomal RNA is filed under the name uncultured bacterium. RNAcentral's name for it is "partial 16S ribosomal RNA". It matches the Rfam family "Bacterial small subunit ribosomal RNA", at positions 524 to 776 of the family's 1533-position model. The record is from RNAcentral.
UACGAAGGGGGCUAGCGUUGCUCGGAAUCACUGGGCGUAAAGCGCACGUAGGCGGCUUCUUAAGUCAGAGGUGAAAUCCUGGAGCUCAACUCCAGAACUGCCUUUGAUACUGAAGAUCUUGAGUUCGGGAGAGGUGAGUGGAACUGCGAGUGUAGAGGUGAAAUUCGUAGAUAUUCGCAAGAACACCAGUGCGAAGGCGGCUCACUGGCCCGGUACUGACGCUGAGGUGCGAAAGCGUGGGAGCAACAGG